GACGAACGCUGGCGGCGUGCUUAAUACAUGCAAGUCGAGCGGAGAUAUCUUGAAAGUUUACUGAUAGAUAUCUUAGCGGCGGACGGGUGAGUAACGCGUGGGCAAUCUGCCCUCUAGCCUGGGAUAACAGAGCGAAAGUUCUGCUAAAACCGGAUAUGCUUACAGUAAGACAUCUUGCAGUAAGGAAAGGAUACACUAGAGGAUGAGCCCGCGUCCCAUUAGCUAGUUGGUGAGGUAACGGCCCACCAAGGCGACGAUGGGUAGCCGACCUGAGAGGGUGACCGGCCACACUGGGACUGAGACACGGCCCAGACUCCUACGGGAGGCAGCAGUAGGGAAUUUUCGGCAAUGGGCGAAAGCCUGACCGAGCAACGCCGCGUGAGGGAAGAAGGUCUUCGGAUCGUAAACCUUUGUCUUUGGGGAAGAUAAUGACGGUACCCAAGGAGGAAGCCACGGCUAACUACGUG
RNAcentral lists this ribosomal RNA (467 nucleotides) under uncultured bacterium. Its description in RNAcentral is "bacterial SSU rRNA". It matches the Rfam family "Bacterial small subunit ribosomal RNA", at positions 28 to 507 of the family's 1533-position model. The record is from RNAcentral.